RNA transcript from Triplophysa dalaica, 6685 nucleotides. It is a transcript of the gene named NIMA-related kinase 7, with no coding region annotated. The transcript has 18 exons. Lineage: Eukaryota; Metazoa; Chordata; Actinopteri; Cypriniformes; Nemacheilidae. The record is from RefSeq and is a predicted model, not a curated record.
AGCUCCGUGUGUAUGUGCGCGCGUGUGUAACACACAGGUCAGAAACGGCGUUUUAAGGAGCGCGCUCACGCACACACUCACAGGAACACACACACACUCCGCAUCCGCGCGCAGACAACCCGUGUGUGUUGCAACUUCGGACAGGAACUCAACGGGAGCUCGACCUUGUAGUGACAGAUUGAGGCGCCUUCAUCCUCAUCAUCUUUCUCCUUCUCGUCCUCAUCUGCGCGAGCUCCAGUUCAGCGCGCGUGAAGCUCGGCUGGCACUUCCUGGGGUGUACAGAACUGAGCUGCUGUCACAAUGGAUGCACAAUCACAAGGUCAACAGCCUCAAGUGCCAGUAUUUCAGCCACAGAAAAUCCAACAAGAUAUGGGCUAUAACAAUUUAGCCAAUUUCGCCAUUAUAAAGAAGAUUGGAAGAGGACAGUUCAGCGAGGUUUAUCGUGCCACAUACAUACUAGAUCAUACUCCAGUAGCUCUGAAAAAAAUACAGAUAUUCGACUUGAUGGAUGCCAAAGCUCGGCAAGAUUGCAUCAAAGAAAUAGAUCUCCUGAAGCAAUUGAACCACCCCAAUGUAAUUAAAUACCAUGCGUCAUUCAUCGAAGAGAAUGAGCUAAAUAUAGUACUGGAACUCGCAGACGCCGGGGACCUCUCGCAAAUGAUAAAGCAUUUCAAGAAACAAAGAAGACUGAUUCCGGAGAAGACGGUGUGGAAGUACUUUGUUCAGCUGUGCAGCGCAUUGGAGCACAUGCACUCUCGCCGCGUCAUGCACAGAGACAUUAAACCGGCAAACGUCUUCAUCACAGCCACUGGAGUGGUAAAACUGGGCGACCUGGGUUUGGGACGCUUCUUCAGUUCCAAAACCACUGCGGCUCAUUCUCUAGUGGGCACCCCAUACUACAUGUCUCCCGAGCGGAUACACGAAAACGGAUAUAACUUCAAAUCUGACAUCUGGUCGCUAGGCUGCCUGCUCUAUGAGAUGGCUGCCUUGCAGAGUCCGUUCUACGGGGACAAAAUGAACCUGUACUCGCUGUGUAAAAAGAUCGAGCAGUGCGACUACCCUCCGCUACCAUCUGACCAUUACUCCGAAGAGGACACACAGUGUUUUAGAAGACCCAUUUCAACCCUUGGAUAUGGCGAGAUUUUUCGGUCAAGGACCCUUGAUUUUUCUCCUAUGCAUGGCUCUGUGUGAUGGUUACUCUGGUAUGUCUCUUUAUAGCUUCUGCUUGUCAUCCUUUUAUUUACUGUAAUGUACUGUAUGUGAUAAUACAUAAUUCAACAGAAAGAUAACAGUGUUAAAUAUUAAUUAAGUAAAUAAUUAACCAACAUAAAUCUGUAUCUGUGAUUAUAGACAACUGGUUGUUAUUAACAUAACAACAAAUGUUAUGUUCUUUUCUAUGAACUACAGUUCUAAAAGACAUUCGGCCAGGUUUACUUAACACUUCUGUACUUUCCUUUUUUGGCACAAACUACUGUCUGUUUGUACUAAAGACAUGCAGUGACAAUUAGCGCUGAAAAGGCUGUUUUUACGACUGGCUUUAUCGCAUUUUCAUUUGUAGGAGUAUUUACUGUAAGUCACGCAAUGCGAUUUACUAAUGUUUGGCUCGUCGCUGUACUGCCAUUUGCGGCUUUAUUUAACGCAUGUCCCUGUCCUUCAUGGUGCAAUUUAUGUGCUUUUCCUGUCAUUUCUGUGUACUAAAGCAAAUUUGAUAUACAUAUUAUUAACACAAAUGAAUGCUCAAGACUGUGCUCUAUAAAAAGAGAAAAUGUUCAUUUCAUCGCAUAGCCGUUAUUGUUUACCUGUAGGUAGCAAUACUGAAACUACAGAAACAGUUCAGAGUCAGACAAUCCAAACAUCCUCACACUCACUCACCCCCUUACAUCAACAUAACAACACAGAUACUGAAGGUAACGUCAUGUGUGUGUUUGAGUAUUAUAUAAAAUGUUACACAAUAUCAGAUGAUCAUCAGGUAUCUUUUACCGUAGUAACAAGCCCCUCACCCGCACACACUCCAUCUCUGAUCUCACAAACAGAAGAUAAAGGUAAUGUUACUUUCUAUGAACUACGGUUCUUCUUUCAUCAGGUUUAAGCUACUGACGGUUUGAUUCCUGAUGUAAACAUCUACAUUAGUGUCACUUUGGUACUCUAUCUUGGUACACUCUAAAAAAAGGCUGGGUUAAAACAACCCAAUUUGGGUUAUUUUGGUAACCCAACGUUGGGUCAAAUAUGGACAAACCCAGCGUUGGGUUAUUUUAACCCAGCCAGUUGGGCUAUAUCUUUGACCCAACAUGCUGGGUUGUUUUAUUUAAAUCAACUUUUGCUUAAAAAUUACAUUGCUGGUUUAAAACAAACCCGAAAUGUUUAAAAAUAAUAAUAACAAAAUCACAGAGAAAUACUCGAGGCAUCAGUAAGAAUCAAAAGUUUUAUUAAGGAUCAAAAUGCAAGACAAAGGGAAUUCAUAAAAACAUGCAAUAUGUUAUGCUCAAUGAACAAUAAAAUGGCAUAUAAAACACUUUGAUGAAAUGUAUGUUUAUACAUAUUUAAGGAAAAUUAACUUCAAUAAAUUACAUUAGUUUAGAUUUUAACAUAUACAUUUAACAAGGUUAUUAAAGUGGCACAAGUAAAUAUAAAUAGUUAGACAACUUAACACUUCAAAAAUUCAUAUACAGUUAACAAAGUGGCACGAUUAAAAUGCUUUAGGGCAAUUCCAGCGUUAUGGAUGCGACAUAAAAACACUAUAAAAAGUAUUUUACUAAACCCUUGUUGAUAGAACCGCAUUUAUAUGAUAAAAUAUCAGUCUAUGCACAAGUUUUCUAUAAAAAAAGAAAUAAACAAGCGUUAUGGAUGUGAAAAGGGACACCGUAACUUUCCUCUUCAUAUAAACUCACAAAACAUUUUAAAGAGCGUUAGUUCUUUCGGUUUCAGCACUGCUUAACCUGACAUAUCCACGGAGCAGUCUUAAUAAAGAGGAUUCUUUUCCUGAGAGUUGUAGACAACAGUGUGGCGUGCACUUUUGGAAGUGGAUGUUCAGCAGGAGGGUUUCUUUAUCAAUUUGUUCAUCUAUAAAGAGAAAAAGAGACAAGAGAAGAAUGUAAGGAAUCUGGCCUACCCAGAGCACAAUGGAUUAUAAUAAACAUAUAAAGAAGUACAUUAACAUUUUACCUAAAUAAUGUUUACCUUUAAGCCUGUUAUGAAAACAUCCACGUUCCAGUUGACUUUCUCUUGAAUAGAAUGAUCCAUUAAUAUUAGCUGUUAUUCUGCACGCUGUCAGUGGGGGGAAAAAGAAGAGUGGGAUCUAGUACAGAAAGUGAAAUACAGUCUUAAAAAAUAAUAUUAUAAACGUUAACACAACUCUUAACUAAUUCGACACACUCGGGAAUAAGUAGAAGUCUAAAAAGAGCAACAAUUGUUCGUCUCAUAUACCCAAAAUAAAUUAUAUCUCACGGUUAACAACUAACGUUAUAAGAGCGGCUACUCCCGAGGCAAUGGCCGAGAUAGAGCUGCUCUCAGCGGAGCCACGACAGCCUGAAGCUCACACCUCCGACAGCGUCUUAACAAAAUCUCAAAGAGGCGUUAUGUUUAUAUAUAAAUCACGUAUUUGUGUUCUUAACAACUACAUUCUCGUCUAAAAGACUAUUUAAAAUAAGUUCCCUCACCGAACAUUAGCGGUAUUUAAAAUAAAAAAAUUGCUGGACGUUUGCUUUUUACACGACGCUCUCUCGUGUCAACCUUAAACUAAUAUCAAGAUGCGUAAGUUACUGAACUAAAUGACUCACACGAGUCAGAAAUUUCAAAGGGAAAUGUUCACCAAAAAUGAAGUUUAAAUGAUUAAAAAGCUGUAAAUUAGAACAACGUGGGCAUAACGUUACAGACCAGCUAUACAAAGCUAACGAAGCUAGAUUGUAACGUUACUUUCAAACCUAAUGCGAACAGCCGAAUUUUGCAUACUUUUGACUUUUUUUUGUACAGUAAUAGUUUUAUACAUUAAAAACUUGUAAACAUACCUUUUCUUCUCCGAAUAACAACUUUUCGAGAUGAGGUGCAUCAAAAUGCCCGCGAAGGUAAAGUUUGUCUGAUGCGUAGAGGAGUGGGAGGGGUUUACUCUCUCAACUGUCACUCAAUUGGACCCGACUGCUAACCCAGCGUUUGGGUUACUCAAAAAAUGACCCAACACUAAGAAAAUAACCCAACAAAAUGACCCAACAGGCUCAACCCAGCUGUUGGGUUAAACAAAUAACCCAGCAUUUUUUAGAGUGUAUCUUGGUGUUCAUAAGAAUGAUGAAGAAGAUGACAUCGUGAUAAAACAAUAUUCAGUUCAAUGUUUUUCGUGAAAUGUGAAAAUCUGAUCUUUUAAAAACACAAAAUGUUCUCUAACAUUUAUUAUUUUAUCAGUAGGAAGCAGUUCUGAAAGUAUUAAGUCGUAUCAGACAAUCCAAACAUCCUCACCCUCACUCACCCCCUCACUUCAACAUGACCACACAUCUACUGAAGGUAACAGUGUCUGUGUGUUUGAGUAUUAUAUAAAAUGUUACACAAUAUCAGAUGAUCAUCAGGUAUCUUUUACCGUAGUAACAAGCCCCUCACCCGCACACACUCCAUCUCUGACCUCACAAACAGAAGAUAAAUGUAAUGUUACUUUCUAUGAACUACGGUUCUUCUUUCAUCAGGUUAAGCUACUGGUGUACAUUUUAGUGUUAAGUGAAGUGUUUGAUUCCUGAUGUAAACAUCUACAUUAGUGUCACUUUGGUACCCUAUCUUGGUAUCUUGGUGUUCAUAAGAAUGAUGAAGAAGAUGACAUCGUGAUAAAACAAUAUUCAGUUCAAUGUUUUUGGUGAAAUGUGAAAAUCUGAUCUUUUAAAAACACAAAAUGUUCUUUAACAUUUAUUAAUUUAUCAGUAGGAAGCAGUUCUGAAAAUAUUAAGCCGAAUCAGACAAUCCAAACAUCCUCACCCUCACUCACCCCCUCACUUCAACAUGACCACACAUCUACUGAAGGUAACAGUGUCUGUGUAUUUGAGUAUUACUGUAUAUAAAAUGAUUUUACAGUAUCAGAUGAUCCUUAGGUGUCUUUACUGUAGUAACAGGCCCCUUACCCGCACGCACUUCCCCACCAACCUCACAACCAGAAGAGAAAGGUAGGUGGGGAAUAGGGUUGUUGUACUGUGUAAUUUUAAGACACAAAAGAUAUUGAAAAACUAAGAUGUAUCAGAUGAUACAGAAACAAGAAAUGAUAUAAUGGGCAGGAAAGAAGAAAAUUCUCUAGUUAGCUAUAACGUCAACUUUAACAUUAGGUUUGCAGGUAACAACUUUCUACUGAAAAGGCAAUAUGAUCAAACACACUUUUUCAUUUUUGUUUGUUUGUUGUUAUUUUUGUUUUAUAAUAAUAAUUGCAUCAGACCGUAUGUAAUGUAAUAACACACUUUGCAGUAAAUGCAAUGCAUACAGUAAAGUAGACGUCCAUUUAAUCAUUUCUGUUGUCAACUAUCACCUACACAUGGUGCAGAGAAUAAAACCACCUCACUUGCAAACACCACCUCCAGCAACUCCAGCACAGUCUUACCCUCAUCCACCACCAUCACCCCCAGCACAGGCCCUGCAGAACCCAAAUGCAAUUUCACUGCUGCGAUGGCUAAAUAUGGUGCAGAGGUGGAGAUUUUCAAUGGCUCUGAUAAUGCAACAUACACUGUCACGAUAAGAGAAACUACAAAGAAUGUGACCACAAUAAAAGAAGAUGUAAAGGGAAUCGUCACAAUACCAUUUCAUCAGUUAAAACCAUGCACCGAAUACACAGUUGAAGUAAAGAACUGUUCAGACCCCAGAAAUGUCACUUUUAACACUCAUACUGACAAACCUAAAAUAAUCUAUAAUAAAACAAUCCCCACUCAGUUUAUGUGGAGUAAUAAACCACAGCACUGCAAUGACACACAUAUGCAAGUCAAAUGCACCGGAGGAUCUUGGAGUCGUACUUUUGCUUUAAAUGAGAAUGUGUCAUUUUUACCCAACAAAACGUAUAAAUGCACCGGAGAAUAUCCUUUUGAGAAAAAUACCACCAAGAGUGAAGAGAUUCAAGUUAACAUAACAUGUGAUUGGCAAAAGAAUACAGACGCCCUAUUUCAGCAAAUUGACAGUAGUUCCUUUGUCAUGUCAUGGAAAUCCCUGAAUAAGAACUGUCCAGGGAUUGAACUGUACAAAUAUGAAGCCAGAUGCACUGGUAGACAUGACCAUCGGAAAGGCUGUGUACAAAACAAGAACAGUGGCAUAGACUGCAGUUUUGACAAUUUGAUACCAAAUACUAAAUAUACAUGUGAGAUUAGAGCCAAAAUCAACACCAGCGACCAAAGUGACACCGGUCACUACAUACUCUCUACUGGAAAGAUACAAACUAAUCCUUCCGUGACACCUGUAUUCAUCUGCUUAAAGUCCACCUGAAUAUGACAUCAGACCAUCGCUUGGGUGUUGAAUGAAAGGCAACUUUUAUCUUUUUUUUGAUGGUUUAUUUACACAUUUACACGUUGAACAUUUAACCUGUAAACAUUUAAGAUACACAUUAAGUUUAAAUUCUGCGUAUUGCUUUUUUAGAAGUCUUUCUUAUUUGCUGUUCUUUACAAAAAAAUCACUGUCUAAAGGUUUGAAUUGUCUAUGUCCAUUUUUGCAUUAUUGUACACAAUAAAAUGAGCUAUUUCAA